AAUGAACGCUGGCGGCGCGCCUAAUACAUGCAAGUCGAGCGAGAAGACGUAGCAAUACGUUUGUAAAGCGGCGAACGGGUGAGGAAUACAUGGGGUAACCUACCCUCGAGUGGGGAAUAACUAGCCGAAAGGUUAGCUAAUACCGCGUACGCUCCUUGGACUUUGGUUCAGGGAGGAAAGCGAUACCGUGGGUAUCGCGCUCUUGGUUGGGCUCAUGUCCUAUCAGCUUGUUGGUGAGGAACGGCUCACCAAGGCUUCGACGGGUAGCUGGUCUGAGAGGACGAUCAGCCACACUGGCACUGCGACACGGGCCAGACUCCUACGGGAGGCAGCAGUAAGGAAUAUUGCGCAAUGGGCGAAAGCCUGACGCAGCGACGCCGCGUGGGGGAUGAAGGUCUUCGGAUUGUAAACCCCUUUCGGGAGGGAAGAUGGAACGAGCAAUCGUUCGGACGGUACCUCCAG
This 462-nucleotide ribosomal RNA is filed under the name uncultured bacterium. RNAcentral's name for it is "bacterial SSU rRNA". It matches the Rfam family "Bacterial small subunit ribosomal RNA", at positions 29 to 484 of the family's 1533-position model. The record is from RNAcentral.